UCGAAGCGACGGGACGGUGCCUGUAUAAGUAAGGCGGGACGUUCCCCCUGGUAAGUCAGUGCCGUCUCCAGGCCCGUCCACGUCCAGGCUAAUAUCCUGGCGUGGAGUGGGGGACCUGAUGUCAUAUGUCAUAUAUCAUGUUUAGACGCUCUAUGUGACUGUCCUGCCAUCAUGCUGUACGCGUAUUGACCAGUGGCCGACCAUCAUGCUGCAUGUGUCUGACCAGUCACUGAGCACCUCGGUACGUAGCUGAGCACCAACUUGCUCACACAGCCCGUAUUCUGUAGCUGACCAACAUCUUGGUCUGGACAGAGGGUGCUGACCUUGGUUCUACAUCACGGUACUAGCAGAAAUACAUGACCGUAUACGACUGUUCUACAUACCUCAUCUAGGUUCUACAUCACGGUACUAGCAGAAAUACAUGGCCGUAUACUACUGUUCUACAUACCUCACCUAGGUUCUACAUCACGGUACUAGCAGAAAUACCUGGCCGUAUACGACUGUUCUACAUACCUCACCUAGGUUCUACAUCACGGUACUAGCAGAAAUACAUGACCGUAUACGACUGUUCUACAUACCUCACCUAGGUUCUACAUCACGGUACUAGCAGAAAUACCUGGCCGUAUACGACUGUUCUACAUACCUCACCUAGGUUCUACAUCACGGUACUAGCAGAAAUACAUGGCGGUAUACGACUGUUCUACAUACCUCACCUAGGUUCUACAUCACGGUACUAGCAGAAAUACAUGACCGUAUACGACUGUUCUACAUACCUCACCUAGGUUCUACAUCACGGUACUAGCAGAAAUACAUGACCGUAUAGGAAUGGUCUAUAUACCUCUCCUGAAAGAUAGACGCCAAUACCAGUGUUAUCCAGACAAUGGAUAGUGGAUACGACCCAUACUCCUGAAGCCUGUCUGUCGAAGGACAAUUCGCUGUAACUUAUUCAAGAGAAAGAUCAACACAAAUUUCAUUUUGUUAUUUAUGUAUUAUAUGUAAAUCAUGCUGUUGUAUACUUCAAGUGGUAAUUUGAUAAAACAUUUUUUUUUUGAACCAGCGGACAUUUUCAAAAUUUAAUCCUAACAGAAAGAUAAUCUAUUGCAGCAAGAACAUACUUCAACUAUGGGAAGAACAUACUUGAAGUAUAGGUGACAUUAAAGUGACACGAUCUGGAAGAAAAGAACAUUUUACAAUCCAUAAAAUUGAAAUAAGUUUUCCGAUUCCGAAAAGGGCACUGUUCCUAAAACACCACAAUUCGUUUGUUUUCUUAAAAUCAUUUUAAAAUUUUGUCACAUAUUUAUUAUUUUUGUUAUCUUUAAAAUGCUAACGAUGCAUUCCUAUGUAAAUAGUAUUUUUUUAGUAUUUAUUCUAAUAUAUUCUUAAAUAUUUAUUCUAAUUAUACAUUUUCAAUUAAUGUAUAAGUCCUUAUCGAUUCCGUCCACGAUAAUCGAUUACUUAUAUUGUAUCGAAGUGUGUGUUAUUUAUUAAACAAAAAAAGUUGAAUGAAAGAUUUGUAAUGACAAGUGUCAAUCCAAAAUAUAUUGGAGGGAAAGAAAGGAAGAGAGAGAGAGAGAGAGAGAGAGAGAGAGAGAGAGAGAGAGAGAAAGGGAAGAUUUGUGGGAGUAAGAAAGAAAGAAAAAUGAAAAAAAGGUAAAAAAUGGAGGAGAAAAAGAAACGAAAGUAGAAAAAAAAAUUGACUAAAAAAAGAAUUAAAAUAAAAAGUUGAAAAUUGAGAGAAAAAAAA
Physella acuta is the source of this 1744-nucleotide long non-coding RNA. RefSeq lists it as uncharacterized. NCBI's taxonomy places the organism in Eukaryota, Metazoa, Mollusca, Gastropoda, Physidae. The record is from RefSeq and is a predicted model, not a curated record.